CCUGGCUCUUUUUCUAAUUCCUUAUACUUGCCUUUAGGCUUGCUUGUUCCUUUAGGUCUUUACUGCAUCAUUCCAGAGAGACCUUCUGUGCCAUACGCUACAGUUCCACCCCCUCUUAUGCCGCUUAGCACUCACCAUUGCCCAACAUAGGAGCUGUUUUAUGUCUUCCUCUUGAUUCUCACUGUUUCCUGCUUUGGAGCAUAAGCUGGACAGAGAAUACCAUCGGAGCUCCUCUGGAACAUGUCCUUGUCUUCUCAGAGUGUGAAGUGUGUGUGUGACAGUGCUUUUCUGAGGACUCAGGUGACCUGGAGGCUGGAGAACAGCAUGGAGCAAGGAAAACAAAGACGAUGUGCUGGAGUGUAUGUUGCUUUCAUAAUUAUGUGAAAGAAAAUGUAGAGAAAUUUGAAAGAGAAAAGAUGGCUAUCCCGCCCAAUGUUUGGCCCCCUCCUGCAAAGGCCAAAACAUUCGUUGGGUUUUUCCUUUACUGUCUAAAUAAAGAAGAAUUUGUGCACAGUCUGAGUGGGUCAGGAUUUCAUCCCAUGGCCAUGUGGGAGCUCCAAGAUUUGAUCUCCGGGCUGGGAGAGAAAAUCUUUUUCUGUCUGGUGUUUUUCAAAAUUUUGAUGAUGGACUCACAUCAAGGAUGAAGAGCUUUGAUGUCAUUUGAACACCACCACCAUCACCACCACCAGCAUCAACAAACAAACAAGCAAACAAGCGUGAACUCAGGAGCCCUGUGGCCCAGCCUCCAGUCCAUUUCCUCACUGUGAUCUGGCUAAGUCACCUCCCCUCCACCUCAGUUCAGUCACCUACACAACAGGAAUGGUGGCUCCUGGCGUGAAAAGUUCUUAGGAGCAUUCAGCAUGAUGCUGUGUGGAGCACUUGGAAACUGCGUGUGCAUCACCUCAUAUUUCUGGCCACAGGUCAUUCAGACAUCUGCCCUUUGCCCUGGAGGAGAACCACUAGGGACUUGUGCCCAUAAGCACCAAUUCUGGCUUUUACCCUACCCAUCCUUUGCCAUCCCAAACUAUGCCAUCAACAAAUUCUAGAAAUCAAGUUAGAAAUGCUGUUCCCACGAGGGUCUCUGUGGUCUCUCAGAACAACAAUCAGCUGGCCCUGCUGGGCAGAUGUUGCCCAAUCCUAACCCACACUUAGCUAUCAACUUAAUCAUUCUCAACUAAAAACACCUACCUGAACACUUUUAGGGGUUAAGAAUAGUAUAAUCUCACUUAGCCAUUUGCAUUUUUUCUUCUUUUUACAAAAAGAAAUUUAUCUUUUUUUUUUUUUGAGACGGAGUCUUGCUCUGUUGCCCAGGUUGGAGUGCAGUGGCGCAAUCUUGGCUCACUGCAAGCUCCGCCUCCUGGGUUAGCGCCAUUCUCCUGCCUCAGCCUCCCGAGUAGCUGGGACUACAGGUGCCUGCCACCACGCCUGGCUAAUUUUUUUGUAUUUUUAGUAGAGACGGGGUUUCACCGUGUUAGUCAGGAUCGUCUUGAUCUCCUGACAUCGUGAUUCGCCCUCCUCAGCCUCCCAAAGUGCUGGGAUUACAGGCGUGAGCCACUGCGCUCUGCCAAGAAUAGUAUAAUCUCACUUAGCCAUUUGUAUUUUUUCUUCUUUUUACAAAAAGAAAUUUAUCUCAUUAUUAUGUUUAAUCAGUUUCUUGAGGUAUAACUUAAGUGUGCUAAAAUUUGCUCUUUUUAGUGUACAGGUCUAGGAUUUUUGAGAAACACAUAUUCAUAUGUGACCACCCCCAUGAUCAACAUAUGGAACAGUCAUUUGCCACCCAAAAUUACCUUGUGCCCUUUUGUUGUCAGACUCUUCUUUCUCCAGACCCUGGCAACCACUGAUGGAUUUUCUGUCCCUAUAGUUUUGCCUUUUCCAGAAUGUUCUGCAAAUGUAAUCAUUUAGUAUGUAGCCUUUUAAGUCUGAUUUCUUUCACUCUGCAUAAUGCAUUUGAGAUUCACCCACGUUGUUACCUGUUACAAUGGUUUGUUCCUUUUUAUUGCGGAGUAAUAUUCCCUUGCAUGGAUGUACCACAGUUUGGGUAACCAUUCAACAGUCAAAUGAGAUUGAAUUUGUUUCCAUUUUUUGGUGAUUAUAAAUACAGCUAUAAACAUUUGUGAAAGUGUUUUGUAUGUACAUACAUUUUUCUUAGACAUUUGGUUUUAAGAGAUGUAUUUAGGUUUAGUUCCAGAUGAACAAUGAGAGACUGAAAGACUUAAGGGACCCCUGAGAAGAGCAGAGGGAAUAUUCCCUGAGGCAGCCAUCAGUCAGACCUGGCCCUGUCAUUUAAAUGUGGGCUAGUGGUAGCAAGAUGCUGUUAUUAUUUUCACCAAGGACAUUUUUUGAGUAGCAAUUAAAAUGAAGUCUAUUUCUCUGAGCCCCUGGAGAAGAACAUAAGCACAUGAUGGUAACCAUCAAUUUAGUGGGCCUAACGUUAUCUAGGUGGUUAAUGUUUCCAUGGCUUCUGGCAAUUCCCAGUGUAAGUCACCUGUGUAUACUGGGUGGAUGCUUCUUUAAAUUAAAGAUAAGCUGUUCAGCUUAAUAACAGCUAAGGGAGAAUAUAGAGCCCGUGGGUGAACUGUUUACUAACAAGCUUCUUCAGGGUCAUUCAACUUGAAUGAACUCUCUUUUAGGCUAACUUGGUUUGUGGAGGGAAUGCAUGUUUCUUAGUUAAAAUAGUUACAUUGGAAUCCCAACUGUGCACAGGACUUCAAGGGUAAUUAUGAACCCCCACUGCAGAUUUCAGGCUUAGCACCAAUUCUCCUUGCUUUCUACUUGUAUCCAUCAAAAACAGAAGUUACGAUGGAGUUACAGCUAUACUUGUAAGGGUCUCAGUGAACCUCUCCCACUAUUCUGCCUUAUCACCUUUGGGUUCCUGUGUUCUCUACCCCCUCCCCACUGCAUGUUUUCAUUCAGCCAGGAAACAUUUACUGCCUGCCUGGUAUCAAGCCCUUGCAUGAGGGUGGGAGCUCAUAAAGAUGACUACACUAGAGAAUCAUUUGACCUUUCUCAUGUAGACCUCAACAUGAAUGAGUUUCAAUGCUGAUAGGGCAAUCAUUACCUUCAGACAAAUUUUCAGGAACAGCCAAGACUAGAGAAUGUAUGGCUAAAACACAGCACUAUGCAUUUAUAAUAGUCAUGGGUUCUCCUGUUUUAAUUGUACAUGGAGAAUAUUUCAGCUUUAUUUGUAUGGGCUGCUCUUAUGUAAAACAUUAUUUCAAUGAGGAAAUGUGUUUGGGGUUCUAAAUGACUAACUUACAAACACAACUUUGAAUAAAGUCCAUGAAUAAUUUGAGGAUUUAUGUCUAUCAAUGGCUGAUUUACCAGAUUGUUGGCUUUGGGUUUAUUGGUAUCCAUGUUGAGAGGCAUCAGAUCAUCCAAGGUUUAAGUUUCGUCCUGACCACUGACUAGCAUUGAGACCUUAAUGGGAUUAAUAACAAUGAUAAUGAUAGUGACAAGAGCUAGCUUUUCAUGAGCACAGUGGCUAAGAGAGUUAGCAUCAGUUCUAGCUGCUUUCAUUGACAUAGAUGUAAAUGGGGAGGGAAACCAUGACUAGACUCAAAUCUCUGCUCUAACGUCUGAUACCUGAAUAUCACUUUGCAAGCCACGUCAUCUCUCUAAGUUGUAGCUCUUUGUCUGAAAAAUGUGGAUAGUUAAUACAUUAUAAAUAAAUUAUUAUUACAUUAAUACACAGAAAUUCAUAAUGCUAUUGUGGGGAUUACAUGAGAUGAUGGAAGUAUUUAAUCUAGUGUCUUGUAUAUGGCAAAUAAAAAAUAAAUAUUCACUGCUGUUAAU
Molecule: long non-coding RNA, 3792 nt
Filed under: Homo sapiens (human)
Lineage: Eukaryota; Metazoa; Chordata; Mammalia; Primates; Hominidae
Description: HSALNT0200391
Source: RNAcentral